GACGAACGCUGGCGGCGUGCUUAACACAUGCAAGUCGAACGGAAAGGCCCUGCUUUUGUGGGGUGCUCGAGUGGCGAACGGGUGAGUAACACGUGAGUAACCUGCCCUUGACUGUGGGAUAACUUCAGGAAACUGGGGCUAAUACCGGAUAGGAGCUCCUGCUGCAUGGUGGGGGUUGGAAAGUUUCGGCGGUGGGGGAUGGACUCGCGGCUUAUCAGCUUGUUGGUGGGGUAGUGGCUUACCAAGGCUUUGACGGGUAGCCGGCCUGAGAGGGUGACCGGCCACAUUGGGACUGAGAUACGGCCCAGACUCCUACGGGAGGCAGCAGUGGGGAAUAUUGCACAAUGGGCGGAAGCCUGAUGCAGCAACGCCGCGUGCGGGAUGACGGCCUUCGGGUUGUAAACCGCUUUCGCCUGUGACGAAGCGUGAGUGACGGGAAUGGGUAAAGAAGCACCGGCUAACUACGU
RNAcentral lists this ribosomal RNA (467 nucleotides) under uncultured bacterium. Its description in RNAcentral is "partial 16S ribosomal RNA". It matches the Rfam family "Bacterial small subunit ribosomal RNA", at positions 28 to 506 of the family's 1533-position model. The record is from RNAcentral.